RNAcentral lists this ribosomal RNA (894 nucleotides) under uncultured marine bacterium. Its description in RNAcentral is "bacterial SSU rRNA". It matches the Rfam family "Bacterial small subunit ribosomal RNA", at positions 8 to 916 of the family's 1533-position model. The record is from RNAcentral.
AGAGUUUGAUCCUGGCUCAGAACGAACGCUGGCGGCAUGCUUUACACAUGCAAGUCGAACGGUAACGGGUCCUUCGGGACGCCGACGAGUGGCGGACGGGUGAGUAACGCGUGGGUAACCUGCCCCUUGGCGGGGGAUAACCAUUGGAAACGAUGGCUAAUACCGCAUGAUCCCUUUCACUUCCGGGUGAGAUGGGGAAAGGCUUCGGCCACCGAGGGAUGGGCCCGCGUUCCAUCAGAUAGUUGGUGAGGUAACGGCUCACCAAGUCUAAGACGGAUAGCUGGUCUGAGAGGAUGAUCAGCCACACUGGGACUGAGAUACGGCCCAGACUCCUACGGGAGGCAGCAGUGGGGAAUUUUGCGCAAUGGGGGAAACCCUGACGCAGCAAUGCCGCGUGAGCGAUGAAGGCCUAAUGGUUGUAAAGCUCUUUCGCUAGGGAAGAAGAUCUGACGGUACCUAGAGAAGAAGCACCGGCUAACUCCGUGCCAGCAGCCGCGGUAAUACGGAGGGUGCGAGCGUUGUUCGGAAUUACUGGGCGUAAAGCGGGCGUAGGCGGUUUAUCAAGUCUGGUGUGAAAUCCCGGGGCUCAACCCCGGACGUGCACUGGAAACUGGUGAACUUGAGUACUGGAGAGGGUGGUGGAAUUCCCGGUGUAGAGGUGAAAUUCGUAGAUAUCGGGAGGAACAUCAGAGGCGAAGGCGGCCACCUGGACAGAUACUGACGCUGAGGUCCGAAAGCGUGGGGAGCAAACAGGAUUAGAUACCCUGGUAGUCCACGCCGUAAACGAUGGGUGCUAGGUGUCGGGACAUUACGCGUCUCGGUGCCGUAGCUAACGCGUUAAGCACCCCGCCUGGGGAGUACGGUCGCAAGAUUAAAACUUAAAGGAAUUGACGG